Molecule: long non-coding RNA, 1441 nt
Filed under: Salmo salar (Atlantic salmon)
Lineage: Eukaryota; Metazoa; Chordata; Actinopteri; Salmoniformes; Salmonidae
Description: lncRNA (ENSSSAG00000115479.1)
Source: RNAcentral
GUUCAAAUGUUCAUAAAUGACCAGCAUGGUCAAAUAAUAAUAAUCAUAGUAGUUGUCGAGGGUGCAACAAGUCAGUAACACAAGAGUAAGUGUCAGUUGGCUUUUUCAUAGCCGAUCGUUGAGAGUAUCUCUACCGCUCCUGCUGUCUCUAGAGAGUUGAAAACAGCAGGUCUGGGACAGGUAGCACGUCCGGUGAACAAGUCAGGGUUCCAUAGCUGCAGGCAGAACAGUUGGAACUGGAGCAGCAGCACGGCCAGGUGAACUGGGGACAGCAAGGAGUCAUCAAGCCAGGUAGUCCUGAGGCAUGGUCCUAGGGCUCAGGUCCUCCGAGAGAGAGAGAGAGAGAGAAAGAAAGAAAGAAAGAAAGAAAGAAAGAAAGAAAGAAAGAAAGAAAGAAAGAAAGAAAGAAAGAAAGAAAGAAAGAAAGAAAGAAAGAAUUAGAGAGAGCAUAUUUAAAUUCACACAGGACACCGGAAAAGACAAGAGAAAUACUCCAGAUGUGACAGACUGACCCCAGCCCCCCGACACAUAAACUACUGCAGCAUAAAUACUGGAGGCUGAGACAGGAGGGGUCAGGAGACACUGUGGCCCCAUCCGAUGAAACCCCCGGACAGGGCCAAACAGGUAGGAUAUAACCCCACCCACUUUGCCAAAGCACAGCCUCCACACCACUGGAGGGAUAUCUCCAACCACCAACCACCAACCACUAAACUCUACACACACAGUCCUGGAGUACCCUAAACCCUACACACACAGGCCUGGAGUACCCUAAACCCUACACACAUGGGCCUGGUGUACCCUAAACCCUACCCACUAAACCCUACACACACAAUCCUGGAGUACCCUGAACCCUACACACACAGUCCUGGAGUACCCUAAACCCUAAACACACAGUCCUGGAGUACCCUAAACCCUAUACACUAAACCCUACACACACAGUCCUGGAGUACUCUAAACCCUACACACACAGGCCUGGAGUACCCUAAACCCUACACACUAAACCCUACACACACAGUCCUGGAGUACCCUAAACCCUACACACACAGGCCUGGAGUACCCUAAACCCUACACACUACAUACACAGGCCUGGAGUACCCUAAACCUUGCACACCUCAUCCUAAAAUAUGCCAAAACCUGGACACACAUACAGAGAAUAGUUAAGUUCAUAAUUUUAAGGGUAUGUUAUUAUUUUAAGGGUAUAUUAUUAUUUUAAGGGUAUGUUAUUAAUUUAAGGGUAUGUUAUUAUGUUAAGUGUAUGUUAUUAUUUUAAGGGUAUGUUAGAAUCACCUUUAUUCGCCAAGUAAAUGUACACACACUCUGAAUGUCACUAGGUGAUAUGGAGCAUCAACAGUGAGAAUAGCAGGACAUCAUGGGGCUCCAGAGAGAAAGAGGCAUGGAAUGUGGUGCCAACACCUUGUCUGCCUGGGUGAAGGGUAGAUAG